CCCCAACAACUGGAUGAGGUUUUUGAGAUUUUUUUUGUACUGGGUUACAUAGUGGUGUGUGCUCGAUGGGUUGGUGACGGACGAGAGGAACAGAGACGCUGCCGAUUCGCUCAGUCAUGUGCUCGCCGCGUGGCCAAGAGUGAGCUGCGCAUCUGGGCGCUCACCAAGUAGACCACAACCACGUCCUGAAGCUCUUAGAGAUCCUUGCAUGGUGCCAUCUCCAAGAAUGACAGACCGUGGCCUCCGACAUGCUGCUGAGGUCGAUGUGGACAAACUCAUGAAUGCAUUGGAAAUACUUUCUGAAACUGAAAAGCAAUUGAAAACCACAAAAAACCAGUCUACAUUGCUUACAGCAGCUUUGUUAGAUUGUUUUUUGUUUGACAUACUAUGGAAGACACAAGGAUCAAACCAAACAUCUUGAUGAUAGCGAUAAACACAAGUCUAAGUGUGACAUAGUUUGCAAGAAAAGGUUGAGCAAGAAGUUGGAUGCUAGCACAAGCAAACCAGAUCAACCUAGGCAAACCUCUGGAAUUAGAGAAGAAAGGAGGAAUUACCACUCAUGGUAAUCCCUAAGGCCCGAUGAUCGAAGUAUCAUGAGGGGUGCUGGUGAGAGGAAUGUCUAUGAUUUAAGGGGGUAUUUUGCUGGUGGAAGUGGAAGGGGUAGAGAAAGGUUUGACUACCCAUAUGGAGGUAGAAAAAAUAUGCACAAGGCUGCUGGGGAUCAAACAAAAAG
This is a long non-coding RNA of Lolium perenne, 733 nucleotides long. RefSeq lists it as uncharacterized. The record is from RefSeq and is a predicted model, not a curated record. Lineage: Eukaryota; Viridiplantae; Streptophyta; Magnoliopsida; Poales; Poaceae.